Pipistrellus kuhlii (Kuhl's pipistrelle) is the source of this 107-nucleotide small nuclear RNA. Lineage: Eukaryota; Metazoa; Chordata; Mammalia; Chiroptera; Vespertilionidae. The record is from RefSeq and is a predicted model, not a curated record.
GUGCUUGUUUUAGCAGUACAGAUAUUAAAGUUGGAAUGAAACAGAGAAGAUUAGCAUGACCCCUGCACAAGAAUGACAUGAAAAUUUGUGAAGUGGUCCAUAUUUUU